Molecule: ribosomal RNA, 477 nt
Filed under: uncultured bacterium
Lineage: Bacteria
Description: bacterial SSU rRNA
Rfam family: Bacterial small subunit ribosomal RNA
Source: RNAcentral
AGAGUUUGAUCCUGGCUCAGAUUGAACGCUGGCGGCAUGCCUUACACAUGCAAGUCGAACGGCAGCGCGGGAGCAAUCCUGGCGGCGAGUGGCGAACGGGUGAGUAAUACAUCGGAACGUGCCCAAUCGUGGGGGAUAACGCAGCGAAAAGCUGUGCUAAUACCGCAUACGCCCUACGGGGGAAAGAUCUUAGGACCUCUCACUAUUGGAGCGGGCGAUAUCAGUUUAGCUAGUUGGUGAAGUAAAGGCCUCACCAAGGCGACGAUCUGUAGCUGGUUGUGAGAGGACGACCAGCCACACUGGGACUGAGACACGGCCCAGACUCCUACGGGAGGCAGCAGUGGGGAAUUUUGGCCAAUGGGCGCAAGCUGAUCCAGCCAUGCCGCGUGAGUGAAGAAGGCCUUCGGGUUGUAAAGCUCUUUCGGCGGGGAAGAAAUCGCAUUCUCUAAUACAGGAUGUGGAUGACGGUACCCGAAU